Molecule: long non-coding RNA, 1932 nt
Filed under: Macaca fascicularis (crab-eating macaque)
Lineage: Eukaryota; Metazoa; Chordata; Mammalia; Primates; Cercopithecidae
Description: lncRNA (ENSMFAG00000058242.1)
Source: RNAcentral
UUUUUUUUUUUUUUUUUGAGACAAGAUCUUGAUCUGUCACGCAGGCUGGAGUGCAGUGGCACGAUCAUAGCUCACUGCAGCCUGGAACUCCUGGGCUCAAGCGAUCCUCCUAUCUCAUCCUCCUGAGUAGCUAGGACUACAGGUGCGUGCCACCAUGCCCAGAUAAUUUUUAAAUUUUUGUAGAGAUGGAGUCUUACUAAGUUGCUCUGGCUGGCCUUGAACUACCAGGCUCAAGUGAUCCUCCCGCCUCGGCCUCCCAAAAAGCUAGGAUUACAGACAUGAGCCAUCGCACCUGGCCUAGGCCUUCUCUCUUGACCCCUUUGGGGUUGCCCUCCUUCCAGCUGGGAUGUUCGGGGACCCUGGUCACUGUUUUGUGUUCUGGAUCUACUCACCCUGCCCCCUCUGCCCAGACUACCCCAUUCCAUAAAUUGGAAAGGUUUGUUUUCAGCAUUAAUGCUCUUCCUAAAAAUGUCACUCAGCUUAGUCAGUUGGACUCAGAAAGUGGUCAGUGGUUAUGAAGUUGCCUCCUAAGUCUCAUUGUUUUCUAUCAUGGUAGGAACAGGGGCUUCCAGGGCCUCCACUGUGAUGGCAGAAAGUGGACUAAAGAAACCGCUCACACCCAUAGAAUAAGCGACAUCCGUGACAGGGAAGAAGCCAGUUUCCUUCUUUCUGGUUUUACAUAAAUACAUGGACGUUGCUUGGGUCAUACUACAGUAAUCCUGGGGCCCAAAUCACCCUUUACGUUACCCACACUGGUCUUAACCUGAACUCUGCAUUGACGUGAGCUCUUCUGACUUCAGCCUCCUUCAUGAGGAGCUUCUGGACGUUGACAGCUUAUUACCUCUUUUUACAAAUAGCUUUUUGAGCCGAGUGGUCAGUCUAUUUUGGAUGACAGUGUUGUCUGUGCAGUCGAGGGUCUAAGAGGAGGAGUUGCACCCAGGCUACUCCUCAGAUUUUCAACUUUUUUUUUUUGAGACGGAGUCUCGCUUUAUCGCCCAGGCUGGAGUGCAGUGGCCGGAUCUCAGCGCACUGCAAGCUCCGCCUCCCAGGUUCACGCCAUUCUCCUGCCUCAGCCUCCCGAGUAGCUGGAACUACAGGCGCCCGCCACCUCGCCCGGCAAGUUUUUUUGUAUUUUUUUUAGUAGAGACGGGGUUUCACCAUGUUGUUAGCCAGGAUGGUCUCGAUCUCCUGACCUCAUGAUCCGCCCGUCUCAGCCUCCCAAAGUGCUGGGAUUACAGGCUUGAGCCACCGCGCCUGGCCAAAUCUUCAGCUUUUUUUUAUCGGCCAAAGAUCCUUGCUUCAGCACUUAGUGCUUUAGUGGAUUUGUUUCUCGGGCCCUCCACCAUUCUGGUCUAUGUAAAAAUUUACGACUUAAUGUCUUGCCAUCACCGUUCUGGUCUGUGUGGAGCAACUCAAUAUUUGGUGGUGUCUAUAACUCUGCUCCGCUGAGGUGUGAUCAAUGAAAAUACCUCCUUUGGGUCUUUGGUGUCCUAUCUUUUUCUCUUAUUGAGAUGAUCUAUGUUUUGGAAGGAUUUGGAAGCUUAGGCAUGCCGCAGGUAGGUUUCUUUCUUUCUUCUUGUUUCUCUGCAAGUUGGUGAUUCUCUCUGAGGAAGUGAUGCCUUCAUGGAGCCAAGAGCACCGCAGUGGAAACUGGCGCUUGUGUCCUGGUUCUCGCUCUGCAGCUAACCAGGGGCAGGACCUUGAGAAAGAAUGACACAUGGGAGUCACUCAAAUGUUUGAAUAAAUUAUUUUUUAAACCUGUAAAAUCGAAAGUAUGAUUCCCAUUCUGUUUAAAAAGAUUGUCGGAGGUCAAAUGAGAGUGUUUGAAAAUGUGUACAAAGGCCGGGUGCAGUGGCUCACUUCUGUAAUCACAGCACUUUGGGAGGCCGAGGCAGGCAGAUCACCUGAGGUCAGGAGUUCAAGACCAGCCUG